CCAUUCUGAUUUUAAGAAUAACUCUUCAUCCUGUUCACUCACGGUAUACCCUGGAGGGGGAUGUGUUUUGUUUUGUUUGUUUUGUUUUGUUUUGUUUUGUUUUGUUUUGUUUUAAAGCAAGAAACCCAUAAAUGCCACCUCUUUCCAAAUUGCCCUCAGUCUGUAAUUUAGGCCGGGUGCAGUGGCUCACGCCUGUAAUUCCAGCACUUUGGGAAGCUGAGACGGGUAGAUCACCUGAGGUCAAGAGUUUGAGACCAGCCUGGGCAACAUGGUGAAACCCUGUUUCUACUAAAAAUACAAAAAUUAGCCGGGCGUGGUGGCACACACCUAUAAUCCCAGCUACUCGGGCGGACGAGAUGGGAGAAUCGCUUGAACCCAGGAGGCGAAGGUUGCAGUGAGCUGAGAUCAUGCCACUGCACUCCAGCACUCCAGCCUGGGUGACAGAGCAAGACUCUGUCUCAAAACACACACACACACACACACACACACACACACACACACACACACACACAUAAUUUAACACAAUGCUUCUGCCACAAAAAAAAAUGGAAAAUACAUCUUGAAACCUUAAAAUUCCUUUUUGCUGUCCUGUCUUCCUUUGUUCUCCAGCCUGGUUCCCUGAGACAUUUGUAUUUUUAGUAGAGACGAGGUUUCACCAUGUUAGUCAGGCUGGUCUCAAACUCCUGACCUCAUGUGAUCCACCUGCCUCAGCCUCCCAAAGUGCUGGGAUUACAGGUGUGAGCCACCGUACCCAGCCAAUUUAUUUUUUAUUGAUGUAUUGAUUUCAAGAACAGGGUCUUGCUAUAUUGCCCAGGCAGGUAGUGAACUACUGGGCUCAGGCUAUCCUCCUGCCUCUGCCUCCCUAAGAGCUGGGAUUUCAGGUGUGAGCCACCUUUCCCAGGGGGUAAUUUUUUUUUAAUUCUCACCAAA
This 930-nucleotide long non-coding RNA is filed under the name Homo sapiens (human). Its description in RNAcentral is "non-protein coding lnc-SPRED2-13:1". Lineage: Eukaryota; Metazoa; Chordata; Mammalia; Primates; Hominidae. The record is from RNAcentral.